This 473-nucleotide ribosomal RNA is filed under the name Rhizobium sp. SCAU669. Its description in RNAcentral is "bacterial SSU rRNA". It matches the Rfam family "Bacterial small subunit ribosomal RNA", at positions 96 to 604 of the family's 1533-position model. Lineage: Bacteria; Pseudomonadati; Pseudomonadota; Alphaproteobacteria; Hyphomicrobiales; Rhizobiaceae. The record is from RNAcentral.
UGGCAGACGGGUGAGUAACGCGUGGGAAUCUACCCAUCUCUGCGGAAUAGCUCUGGGAAACUGGAAUUAAUACCGCAUACGCCCUACGGGGGAAAGAUUUAUCGGGGAUGGAUGAGCCCGCGUUGGAUUAGCUAGUUGGUGGGGUAAAGGCCUACCAAGGCGACGAUCCAUAGCUGGUCUGAGAGGAUGAUCAGCCACAUUGGGACUGAGACACGGCCCAAACUCCUACGGGAGGCAGCAGUGGGGAAUAUUGGACAAUGGGCGCAAGCCUGAUCCAGCCAUGCCGCGUGAGUGAUGAAGGCCUUAGGGUUGUAAAGCUCUUUCACCGAUGAAGAUAAUGACGGUAGUCGGAGAAGAAGCCCCGGCUAACUUCGUGCCAGCAGCCGCGGUAAUACGAAGGGGGCUAGCGUUGUUCGGAAUUACUGGGCGUAAAGCGCACGUAGGCGGAUAUUUAAUUCAGGGGUGAAAUCCCG